Molecule: unclassified non-coding RNA, 371 nt
Filed under: fungal sp.
Lineage: Eukaryota; Fungi
Description: partial internal transcribed spacer region
Rfam family: Eukaryotic small subunit ribosomal RNA (bases 1-46)
Source: RNAcentral
AAGUCGUAACAAGGUUUCCGUAGGUGAACCUGCGGAAGGAUCAUUAACACGUAUCCAACGUUAAACCCCCCUUUGAACUUUUAGCGUGCUCUUGUGCCUGGUAAAUCAGCCUUUGAUUCUGUCUAAAAGGAUGCAAUUGAGCGCUCGAGGCAAGUGGCUUGGUUUCCCCAAGCAAUUGGCGUCUGAAAGUGGCGCUGGUUGUGUAAGGAUAACGCUUUACGAUUGCUGUAGGCCGAACACCGGCCGGCGACUCGGCCACCGGGCUCACGCCCCCUAAUAACACCAGUAGUUAUCUUAAGGCACCACUCCACUGCAAGUGCGCCGGAGCUGGUGAAAACGAACAACUGUUAACAAUGGAUAUCUUGGUUCUC